Gavialis gangeticus (Gharial) is the source of this 1539-nucleotide long non-coding RNA. RefSeq lists it as uncharacterized. NCBI's taxonomy places the organism in Eukaryota, Metazoa, Chordata, Crocodylia, Gavialidae. The transcript is spliced from 3 exons. The record is from RefSeq and is a predicted model, not a curated record.
GGGAGGCAGUUGUAUAAUUAAGAGUUCAUGGUCACAAAAGUUUCAACAAGAAGUGUUGUCUGGCUGGGAAGCUUGAUCUAUUAAGCAGAAUGGGGAAUUGUAGAAACUGAACUACAACUUCCAUGAGACACUAUGGCAAAAUAUCCAAAUCUAAAUAUUUUUAGGAAGGAAACUUUGGGGGUUUUUUCAGUAGAAAGAAGGUAUUUUUUAUGAUAAAUUUUGUUUAUUCAGAAAUCCAAUUUUCUGUAGAAAAUUGUUUUGAUAGAAAAUUAUUAACUGUUCCUAUCAGUCAGUCCUAUAACACAAGUCCACAAAUCACCAUCAGAUAGUAGCUAUUAAUAGUUGGUACCAGUUUUGAAUUGGUUACUGGCAAUGAAUGUAUUGUUAUUCCCUGAUCUGUCUAAUCCGGUAUAAAAUAGUAUGGUAAUUAAUUAGAUAUUUGAUUAUACUUCAGGCAUUUAGAAGCUCAAAUGUUUGGGGGGAAAUGGAAUAUUUGAAAUUCUAUAACCAAUUUUUACUAUUUUCCUAAAUAUAGAAUGGUGAUUCCAUUCUUGCCACUGAAUUAUUUUGCUAAACAAAAAAAAAAAGAUAUUUGAGGCAAACAUUUAAGAUAGAGAAGGAUGCCAAGUGUAAAGAAUGUGCAGAAAGGUGUUAUGUCUACACACAGAGCCAAUCCACAAAACGGGUAGUCACUAAAAGAGCCAAGAUAAACAAGACUAUGUUGAAGCUAACUUAGUCCCCCAGAACCAUCAUGAGUGCGUUUAUAUAUUAUUGGAGCCAAGUGAACUUUAACUGUGUCUUAUUUAACUUGGCCAUUUACAUGGCUAACCUUUUUUGUAAGUUGGCUCUGUUUGUAGCUAUCACACCUUUUGAUUACUGACCUUUUCUUGCCUAACUCUGGAUUUUUAAUCUAUAUUAAAUAUUUUUAUCUUGUUUAAUUUCCUUGAUGUUUUUCUUACUGUAGCAAAUAUUACAGAAACUAUUUUAUGAUAGAAGGCACAUUUUUUUAUUAGAAAAUUCCUUAGCCUCUUAAAGCCAAUAGCUUAGACAUCUAUAUGACUGGUAACACCUGACUUUUUCCACAGGAUGUUGGUGAAGGAAAAGCUUUUAUUGAAAUAAAUGUUCACGUUUCAUUGAAAGAUCUUGUGCAGAUGUAAGUUCACUGCACAGUCUUCAUCAAAAGCUUAGUUAAAAGCAUCACCUCUGAGGCAUUUUGGACACAGUGAAAGGAAACAGCUGGGCAAGUCCAGAGCUUUCAAUUCAAGAGAGAACUGCUCUCCAGGCCUGGCAUUGUUCACUGCACUGGAUUCUAUCCUGACUGGAGUCUUAAAAUAGUGUGGCAUACAUUUUUUUAUAAACAUAAUAAAGCCAUUUUCUAAAACUGCAGUGCUCAAUUAAAGUUUUAUCUCAAGCUACAUAAUAUAAAUUAUUUUCAGUAACAAAAUUAAUCUAAUAGGGUAUUUAACUUAUGGGGAACAUACAUAUUCUGAUCCAAAAUAAUGAGUUACUGAUAUACCUUUGCCCACAAUAAUGGUUGUU